This 347-nucleotide long non-coding RNA is filed under the name Bos taurus (domestic cattle). RNAcentral's name for it is "long non-coding RNA NONBTAT026626". The record is from RNAcentral. Lineage: Eukaryota; Metazoa; Chordata; Mammalia; Artiodactyla; Bovidae.
AUUCAAGAAAAGAUAUACCAGAGCAGAGGAGGGUGAAUGAGACUUUUUUUCCCUCAGUGGACACAGAAGACAAAAGUUAAAAUGAAUGAGUUAUCCCUUAGGUAAGAGCUACACUAAAGAUGCACGCAGCCAGCAGAAACAAUUGUGCACAAAGCAAAUAGGUUUCUCCGCGAAUUCUCUUGGGCCAGUUCUUAAAAGCUUUUUAAACAUCUGUUAAAGUUUUCAUUUUAUAGAAUAUAUUUUUAAAAAGGUAGAGUGUUAAUAUAACAUAGUAGGUGGACUUUUUGAGAUUAAGAACAUGCUUUACUUUAUUAAACUUUCUCUUUGAUUUUACAGAGAAUAUGAAA